This 73-nucleotide transfer RNA is filed under the name Anaerolineae bacterium. RNAcentral describes it as "tRNA-Thr". It matches the Rfam family "tRNA". Rfam says of the family: Transfer RNA (tRNA) molecules are approximately 80 nucleotides in length. Their secondary structure includes four short double-helical elements and three loops (D, anti-codon, and T loops). Lineage: Bacteria; Bacillati; Chloroflexota; Anaerolineae. The record is from RNAcentral. RNAcentral also lists the same sequence under 1 other name.
GCCUCAGUAGCUCAGCUGGCAGAGCGCACGCCUUGUAAGCGUGAUGUCGUGAGUUCAAAUCUCACCUGAGGCU